CCUACGGGGCGCAGCAGUGAGGAAUAUUGGUCAAUGGGCGGGAGCCUGAACCAGCCAAGCCGCGUGAAGGAAGAAGGCGCCAAGCGUCGUAAACUUCUUUUGUCGGGGAACAAAGGGCGCCACGUGUGGCGUUGUGAGUGUACCCGAAGAAAAAGCAUCGGCUAACUACGUGCCAGCAGCCGCGGUAAUACGUAGGGGGCAAGCGUUAUCCGGAUUUACUGGGUGUAAAGGGAGCGUAGACGGCCAGACAAGUCUGAAGUGAAAAUCCAGCGCUUAACGUUGGAAGUGCUUUGGAAACUGCCGGG
RNAcentral lists this ribosomal RNA (305 nucleotides) under uncultured bacterium. RNAcentral describes it as "bacterial SSU rRNA". It matches the Rfam family "Bacterial small subunit ribosomal RNA", at positions 338 to 640 of the family's 1533-position model. The record is from RNAcentral.